CACGCCGUAAACGAUGGAUACUAGCUGUUCGGAGCAAUCUGAGUGGCUAAGCGAAAGUGAUAAGUAUCCCACCUGGGGAGUACGCACGCAAGUGUGAAACUCAAAGGAAUUGACGGGGGCCCGCACAAGCGGUGGAGCAUGUGGUUUAAUUCGAUGAUACGCGAGGAACCUUACCAGGGCUUAAAUGUAGAUGGACAGGACUGGAAACAGGUUUUUCUUCGGACAAUUUACAAGGUGC
RNAcentral lists this ribosomal RNA (238 nucleotides) under uncultured bacterium. Its description in RNAcentral is "partial 16S ribosomal RNA". It matches the Rfam family "Bacterial small subunit ribosomal RNA", at positions 796 to 1041 of the family's 1533-position model. The record is from RNAcentral.